CAAGCCCCACAGUAGCGUGGCCCAAGCGCGAAAGGCACUAGUAUGGCCCAGUGCGGGUGUGCGGCCCUAGCUCAAGCAUGCGGCCCAACGCAAGUGGGUAGCCCAGGCGGGCGUGCGGCCUAUGAUGCACACGUGCCCACACAAUGUGCAGGAUUUGGCACAUUCCAUGGUGGACCAUGUAGGAUGGUGCGGUCCAUACCUUCCAUGU
RNAcentral lists this long non-coding RNA (208 nucleotides) under Elaeis guineensis (African oil palm). RNAcentral describes it as "long non-coding RNA (EGUI_LNC001866)". Lineage: Eukaryota; Viridiplantae; Streptophyta; Magnoliopsida; Arecales; Arecaceae. The record is from RNAcentral.